UACGUAGGGUGCGAGCGUUGUCCGGAAUUAUUGGGCGUAAAGAGCUUGUAGGCGGUUUGUCGCGUCUGCCGUGAAAAUUCGAGGCUCAACCUCGAACUUGCGGUGGGUACGGGCAGACUAGAGUGUGGUAGGGGAGACUGGAAUUCCUGGUGUAGCGGUGAAAUGCGCAGAUAUCAGGAGGAACACCGGUGGCGAAGGCGGGUCUCUGGGCCGAUAUUGACGCUGAGGAGCGAAAGCGUGGGGAGCGAACAGG
This 253-nucleotide ribosomal RNA is filed under the name uncultured bacterium. RNAcentral describes it as "partial 16S ribosomal RNA". It matches the Rfam family "Bacterial small subunit ribosomal RNA", at positions 524 to 776 of the family's 1533-position model. The record is from RNAcentral.